This 404-nucleotide ribosomal RNA is filed under the name uncultured prokaryote. RNAcentral describes it as "bacterial SSU rRNA". It matches the Rfam family "Bacterial small subunit ribosomal RNA", at positions 355 to 776 of the family's 1533-position model. The record is from RNAcentral.
UGGGGAAUAUUGCGCAAUGGAGGGAACUCUGACGCAGCAACGCCGCGUGAAGGAUGAAGGCUUUCGGGUUGUAAACUUCUUUGAUCGGGGACGAAGAUGACGGUACCCGGGGAACAAGCCACGGCUAACUACGUGCCAGCAGCCGCGGUAAUACGUAGGUGGCGAGCGUUAUCCGGAAUUACUGGGCGUAAAGGGCACGCAGGCGGCCAUUCAAGUCUGACGUGAAAGCUCCUGGCUUAACUGGGAGAGGUCGUUGGAGACUGAGUGGCUUGAGGCGAUGAGAGGGGUGCGGAAUUCCCGGUGUAGUGGUGGAAUGCGUAGAUAUCGGGAGGAACACCAGUGGCGAAAGCGGCGCCCUAGCAUUGGCCUGACGCUCAUGUGCGAAAGCGUGGGGAGCGAACGGG